Molecule: small RNA, 853 nt
Filed under: Arabidopsis thaliana (thale cress)
Lineage: Eukaryota; Viridiplantae; Streptophyta; Magnoliopsida; Brassicales; Brassicaceae
Description: ATSL082270
Source: RNAcentral
AUAACUUGAUUAUCUAAAUGUAGAUGAUAUUGAAUUGAAAAAAUAAUUUAAUUUCUAACGCAAAUAAUCAACUCGCGGUGUACCGCGGGUCUAUAUCUAGUUCUAGUAAUAAACAGAGAGAAUAAAAGCUACCAACUUUACAAACAUGGAGCAACACAUACAAGUUAAGAUACUACAAUAAUCGAUCAAUCACCAAGAAUGCAAAAAAGGUGAAUUACAUAGAUUUGAGUUGUAUCCACGUAAUAUUACGCAACCAAAUUCGUCAAAGACACUACCAAACCCUAAUCCUAAUCUCUGAAUAUCUUCUGACAAAGCCACUUUGCAGUUUGAGUUUGAGCUUGAGAUGGUAUCCUCUUUCGUUUCUUCACCUUGGGAAUCUUCGAGAGUCCUCUCCUGAUUACAUAUCUUGUGUUGGUUCACUACCAUUAGGUGUGUGAUACGAUUCAUCAAUCGUAUGUCAAGAAAAAGUCAACUCCACGUCAGCUAGAGUCAACAGAAAAUAGACUCACUAAAAGAAACAUAGGCUUUGAGGAAGAGAAAGAAGAAGUGAAAGACUCUGGAUCGGGAAGAGGGUUUGCCGUUGGUGUUGACGGAGCUUAAAUAGCCGUUGGAGCUCAUUGUUCUUUUUAUUGCUAUUUUCUAGAUGGUUCAGAGAGAGAGAAUAAUUUCUGUAGAUGUUCCAGUAGCGAUCUAUGUUGAUUGUUUUAUCGUGAGCUUAUAUGUUUGAACGAUUUGUUAUGCAAAUCUUGCUGAUUAUCUCCUUGGUAAUUGAUUUGGAUCUUGUAUUUAUGAACUGGCCACAUAUUUAAAUUAUAAGAUUUUCAUUAUAGUUUAAGAUUGUCAUCUAAUAAUA